GGAACUAGAUGUGGGGACCAUUCCACGGUCUCCGUGUCGCAGCUAACGCAUUAAGUUCCCCGCCUGGGGAGUACGGCCGCAAGGCUAAAACUCAAAGGAAUUGACGGGGGCCCGCACAAGCGGCGGAGCAUGCGGAUUAAUUCGAUGCAACGCGAAGAACCUUACCAAGGCUUGACAUAUACGAGAACGGGCCAGAAAUGGUCAACUCUUUGGACACUCGUAUACAGGUGGUGCAUGGUUGUCGUCAGCUCGUGUCGUGAGAUGUUGGGUUAAGUCCCGCAACGAGCGCAACCCUCGUUCUAUGUUGCCAGCACGUAAUGGUGGGAACUCAUGGGAUACUGCCGGGGUCAACUCGGAGGAAGGUGGGGACGACGUCAAAUCAUCAUGCCCCUUAUGUCUUGGGCUUCACGCAUGCUACAAUGGCCGAUACAAAGGGCUGCAAUACCGCAAGGUGGAGCGAAUCCCAAAAAGUCGGUCCCAGUUCGGAUUGAGGUCUGCAACUCGACCUCAUGAAGUCGGAGUCGCUAGUAAUCGCAGAUCAGCAACGCUGCGGUGAAUACGUUCCCGGGCCUUGUACACACCGCCCGUCAAGUCAUGAAAGUCGGUAACACCCGAAGCCAGUGGCCUAACCCUUGUGGAAGGAGCUGUCUAAGGUGGGA
Molecule: ribosomal RNA, 659 nt
Filed under: Okibacterium sp. 741-138
Lineage: Bacteria; Bacillati; Actinomycetota; Actinomycetes; Micrococcales; Microbacteriaceae
Description: bacterial SSU rRNA
Rfam family: Bacterial small subunit ribosomal RNA
Source: RNAcentral